This is a long non-coding RNA of Wasmannia auropunctata (little fire ant), 1489 nucleotides long. RefSeq lists it as uncharacterized. NCBI's taxonomy places the organism in Eukaryota, Metazoa, Arthropoda, Insecta, Hymenoptera, Formicidae. The transcript has 3 exons. The record is from RefSeq and is a predicted model, not a curated record.
AAGAGUACAGGAGGAGCAUAAUCGAGUGCCUGUGUCACGAAGAUUACAGCCGAUUACAGAAAAGGAGAGAUUGAAGUGAACACACAUCGGUAUAUUGCUCGAGGCCGUCAUUUAAUCCCUGCACGUUUGACAAAGGAAAGAAUACGUGAUACAGCGGAAUCUGUUGACUGAUACGGUGAAACGCAAGCGUGUUAAAACUCAAGACGUGGCGUUUCAAUCUUUCAAAAGUGUCUACAUAACAAACAAGAAAGUGUGUAAAACACGAGCAGUAAAAAAAAUUCAAAGAGAAUAUACGUGCUAUUAUACUAUUCUAUUUGAGAGAGAAUUAAGCCAACCGAUCUCACUUAUUUCAAAUUGUGACGCCUAAAUCGUUGUCCAUGAAGUUUCUGCGAAAACUUCGGGCUAAGCGUGUCUAACUUUUGUUCGUAACCUCGUUAUCGGAGUUUGCAAGAGCCAUUUUCGGAUGCGGAUACACGCGCAAAAGGCAGAAUUAUUCGGCGGCGAAACUACAUCCGCGACUGCAUAAAACUGCUUUCAAGUUUUCGCAUGUGUGAGCACCCGAGGAUUUAUCCUUAUAAACAAGUUUUCCCCUCUUCAACGCGGCAAAAUCAAAUUUGGAAUGAUAAAAUUUAUCGUUGGAAACUGAUGUAGCUGGAGCAUGGAAAAAGACUGGGGUCAAACUGGAGCGUGAAUGGAAAAAGACGGGAAGCAAGCUCCUAUUUCUGUUAGGAAAUUACAAAGUUUUGCCGGACAGCCGUCACAACUUUGCAGUGUUUUGCAGCCAGCGAACAGCGUGAUUCGGAAUAUCCAUCGAGAAAGUUCCGCAAUAACAAAGAGCAAGUUAUUGGAAAAUAUUCGAAAGACUCUGCUGCCAAACUGCUACGACAAUAGCAACCGAAUGCGAGAAAGAAAAGGAGGAGAGGAAGAAAAAGACUGCACCUCUAUUGUGCCGCGAAACAAAGCUGGACACGAAAGAAACAUAAUCGUGAAGAAUAGUGUAACAAAUGAGAUAUAAAGAACAAAAGAGAGCGAUAUUUCCUAAUACUUUAAGCUCCUAGAAGAGUAAUACAAUCCAUUUGCAAUAAUCUUCAUUUAUAAAUAAGCUUAAAAAUGUAUAGACGGUCUAGAGAGAAAUUUACAGUUAAAUCGAGUUGAUUCCAUGAAGAAUGCAAUGCCACAGAGAAGGUCGGAGACGGACGAAGCGCGCUUUGUAGCAGCGAAAUGGCAGAGAGGCGAUCGAAUCGACUCGCCUUCACUCGCCUCCACUUGUAGUUGCGAAAUUACACAAGUGAUUAAAGAUCAAGCGUGCGGGGAAAGCCACAUCGAGAGUCCUUGCAAGGCUGUCACUGAGAAGUAACAAAUUCCCGUGGAAUUUACCAGACAAUUCCAGAAUGAAAGAUGGGAUUUGAGAUUAGAAUAAUAGCACUACACAACUCGUAAUUCGUAACUCCAAUUUGUAAAAUAAAAAUAAAGGAUCACAGGAGCAAAA